GACGAACGCUGGCGGCGUGCUUAACACAUGCAAGUCGAACGGUGACCCAGGGCUUGCCCUGGUGAUCAGUGGCGAACGGGUGAGUAACACGUGGGCAACCUGCCCCUGACUUCGGGAUAACUCCUCGAAAGAGGAGCUAAUACCGGAUACGACCACUUCGGACAUCCGAUGGUGGUGGAAAGUUUUUCGGCAGGGAUGGGCCCGCGGCCUAUCAGCUAGUUGGUGGGGUAAUGGCCUACCAAGGCGACGACGGGUAGCCGGCCUGAGAGGGCGACCGGCCACACUGGGACUGAGACACGGCCCAGACUCCUACGGGAGGCAGCAGUGGGGAAUAUUGCGCAAAUGGGCAAAGCCUGACGCAGCG
RNAcentral lists this ribosomal RNA (364 nucleotides) under uncultured bacterium. Its description in RNAcentral is "bacterial SSU rRNA". It matches the Rfam family "Bacterial small subunit ribosomal RNA", at positions 28 to 393 of the family's 1533-position model. The record is from RNAcentral.